UACGAAGGGGACUAGCGUUGUUCGGAAUUACUGGGCGUAAAGCGCACGUAGGCGGAUUUGUAAGUCAGGGGUGAAAUCCCUCGGCUUAACCGGGGAACUGCGUCUGAUACUGGAUGGCUUGAAUCCGGGAGAGGGAUGCGGAAUUCCAGGUGUAGCGGUGAAAUGCGUAGAGAUCGGGAGGAAUACCAGUGGCGAAGGCGGCCUUCUGGACUGACACUGACGCUGAGGCGCGAAAGCCAGGGGAGCAAACGGG
RNAcentral lists this ribosomal RNA (253 nucleotides) under uncultured bacterium. RNAcentral's name for it is "partial 16S ribosomal RNA". It matches the Rfam family "Bacterial small subunit ribosomal RNA", at positions 524 to 776 of the family's 1533-position model. The record is from RNAcentral.